GGCUGCUGGGAAUUAGCAUACUGGGCUAAAUCGCUGCAUUGUGGUUCUUCAUGAUAUCCAGAUGGAUCAGCUUGAUGCAUGAAUAUGAGGCUAAAAAGUUUAGGAUGGAUGAGCUGCUGUUAAGGGGCGUUAAUAAACUGCUCCCAGCAGUGAUUGUAAAGAUCAAGAACAGAGAUUAGCUUAAUAUAUGUUGCAACAAGGGGGAAGCUAGCUGCUGGAAUCAUAGCCUAGUCCUCAGGAUGUUUAUAUAUUGCUCCCAGCAGUGGUAGUCAAGAUUCAGCGUGACAUAUGUUCAGCAAGGAAGAGGUUAGCUGCUGGAAUUAUGGCCUAAUUUCCAGGCAGAAGGUUCAGACCUUACCAGAUCUAGAAGAAAUGCAUCAACUGGUGAUGAGGUUAUUUGUGGUGGCUUGUUUGGUUUUGUUGAAGCCUCAAGAAACUCAUGGAUUAAAGACUCAUAGUCAAUGCAAUAAGCAACAAGCUUGUGUGGCAUUGAGUAUUUGCAUGUUCAUCAAGAGAGCUCCCCUUGAUUGCAUCUGAUACAUAUUGUCAGUGAUAAAGCAUGAC
This is a long non-coding RNA of Rosa rugosa (rugosa rose), 564 nucleotides long. RefSeq lists it as uncharacterized. The record is from RefSeq and is a predicted model, not a curated record. The transcript is spliced from 5 exons. Lineage: Eukaryota; Viridiplantae; Streptophyta; Magnoliopsida; Rosales; Rosaceae.